This 253-nucleotide ribosomal RNA is filed under the name uncultured bacterium. RNAcentral describes it as "partial 16S ribosomal RNA". It matches the Rfam family "Bacterial small subunit ribosomal RNA", at positions 524 to 776 of the family's 1533-position model. The record is from RNAcentral.
UACGUAGGGGGCAAGCGUUGUCCGGAUUUACUGGGCGUAAAGAGCGUGUAGGCGGCCAAACAGGUCCGUUGUGAAAACUGGAGGCUCAACCUCCAGACGUCGACGGAAACCGUAUGGCUAGAGUCCGGAAGAGGAGAGUGGAAUUCCUGGUGUAGCGGUGAAAUGCGCAGAUAUCAGGAAGAACACCUAUGGCGAAGGCAGCUCUCUGGGGCGGUACUGACGCUGAGACGCGAAAGCGUGGGGAGCGAACAGG